CCUACGGGUGGCAGCAGUGGGGAAUAUUGGACAAUGGGCGAAAGCCUGAUCCAGCCAUGCCGCGUGUGUGAAGAAGGCCCUCGGGUUGUAAAGCACUUUCAGUGGGGAAGAAAGCCUUGGGGCUAAUACCCUCGAGGAAGGACAUCACCCACAGAAGAAGCACCGGCUAACUCCGUGCCAGCAGCCGCGGUAAUACGGAGGGUGCGAGCGUUAAUCGGAAUUACUGGGCGUAAAGCGCGCGUAGGCGGUCUGAUAAGCCGGUUGUGAAAGCCCCGGGCUCAACCUGGGAACGGCAUCCGGAACUGUCAGGCUAGAGUGCAGGAGAGGAAGGUAGAAUUCCCGGUGUAGCGGUGAAAUGCGUAGAGAUCGGGAGGAAUACCAGUGGCGAAGGCGGCCUUCUGGACUGACACUGACGCUGAGGUGCGAAAGCGUGGGUAGCAAACAGGAUUAGAUACCCUUGUAGUC
RNAcentral lists this ribosomal RNA (465 nucleotides) under Vreelandella stevensii. Its description in RNAcentral is "partial 16S ribosomal RNA". It matches the Rfam family "Bacterial small subunit ribosomal RNA", at positions 338 to 795 of the family's 1533-position model. The record is from RNAcentral. Lineage: Bacteria; Pseudomonadati; Pseudomonadota; Gammaproteobacteria; Oceanospirillales; Halomonadaceae.